CCUACGGGAGGCAGCCGUGAGGAAUAUUGGUCAAUGGACGCAAGUCUGAACCAGCCAUGUCGCGUGCAGGAAGCCGGCUCUAUGAGUUGUAAACUGCUUUUGUACGAGGGUAAACGCAGAUACGCGUAUCUGUCUGCAAGUAUCGUACGAAUAAGGAUCGGCUAACUCCGUGCCAGCAGCCGCGGUAAUACGGAGGAUUCAAGCGUUAUCCGGAUUUAUUGGGUUUAAAGGGUGCGUAGGCGGAUCGUUAAGUCAGUUGUCAAAGUGAGGGGCUCAACCCCUUCCCGCCAUUGAAACUGGCGCUCUGGAGUGGAAGAGAAGUAUGCGGAAUGCGUGGUGUAGCGGUGAAAUGCAUAGAUAUCACGCAGAACCCCGAUUGCGAAGGCAGCAUGCCGGCUUCCGACUGACGCUGAAGCACGAAAGCGUGGGGAUCGAACAGGAUUAGAUACCCGAGUAGUC
This 459-nucleotide ribosomal RNA is filed under the name uncultured bacterium. RNAcentral's name for it is "partial 16S ribosomal RNA". It matches the Rfam family "Bacterial small subunit ribosomal RNA", at positions 338 to 795 of the family's 1533-position model. The record is from RNAcentral.